This 492-nucleotide ribosomal RNA is filed under the name uncultured bacterium. RNAcentral's name for it is "partial 16S ribosomal RNA". It matches the Rfam family "Bacterial small subunit ribosomal RNA", at positions 29 to 507 of the family's 1533-position model. The record is from RNAcentral.
AGUGAACGCUGGCGGUAGGCCUAACACAUGCAAGUCGAACGGCAGCACAGUAAGAGCUUGCUCUUACGGGUGGCGAGUGGCGGACGGGUGAGGAAUACAUCGGAAUUUACUUUUUCGUGGGGGAUAACGUAGGGAAACUUACGCUAAUACCGCAUACGACCUACGGGUGAAAGCAGGGGAUCUUCGGACCUUGCGCGAUUGAAUGAGCCGAUGUCGGAUUAGCUAGUUGGCGGGGUAAAGGCCCACCAACGCGACGAUCCGUAGCUGGUCUGAGAGGAUGAUCAGCCACACUGGAACUGAGACACGGUCCAGACUCCUACGGGAGGCAGCAGUGGGGAAUAUUGGACAAUGGGCGCAAGCCUGAUCCAGCCAUACCGCGUGGGUGAAGAAGGCCUUCGGGUUGUAAAGCCCUUUUGUUGGGAAAGAAAAGCAGCAGGUUAAUACCCCGCUGUUCUGACGGUACCCAAAGAAUAAGCACCGGCUAACUUCGUG